This 253-nucleotide ribosomal RNA is filed under the name uncultured bacterium. Its description in RNAcentral is "partial 16S ribosomal RNA". It matches the Rfam family "Bacterial small subunit ribosomal RNA", at positions 524 to 776 of the family's 1533-position model. The record is from RNAcentral.
UACGUAGGGUGCAAGCGUUAAUCGGAAUUACUGGGCGUAAAGCGCGCGCAGGCGGUUUCUUAAGUCUGAUGUGAAAGCCCCCGGCUCAACCGGGGAGGGUCAUUGGAAACUGGGAAACUUGAGUGCAGAAGAGGAAAGUGGAAUUCCAAGUGUAGCGGUGAAAUGCGUAGAGAUUUGGAGGAACACCAGUGGCGAAGGCGACUUUCUGGUCUGUAACUGACGCUGAGGCGCGAAAGCGUGGGGAGCAAACAGG